AUUGAACGCUGGCGGAAUGCUUUACACAUGCAAGUCGAACGGCAGCACGGACUUCGGUCUGGUGGCGAGUGGCGAACGGGUGAGUAAUAUAUCGGAACGUGCCCAGUCGUGGGGGAUAACGUAGUGAAAAUUACGCUAAUACCGCAUACGAUCUAUGGAUGAAAGCGGGGGAUAGCAAGACCUCGCGCGAUUGGAGCGGCGGAUAUCAGAUUAGGUAGUUGGUGAGGUAAAGGCUCACCAAGCCGACGAUCCGUAGCUGGUCUGAGAGGACGACCAGCCACACUGGAACUGAGACACGGUCCAGACUCCUACGGGAGGCAGCAGUGGGGAAUUUUGGACAAUGGACGCAAGUCUGAUCCAGCCAUUCCGCGUGCAGGACGAAGGCCUUCGGGUUGUAAACUGCUUUUGUACAGAACGAAAAGGUCUCUAUUAAUACUAGGGGCUCAUGACGGUACUGUAAGAAUAAGCACCGGCUAACUACGUGCCAGCAGCCGCGGUAA
This 500-nucleotide ribosomal RNA is filed under the name uncultured bacterium. Its description in RNAcentral is "partial 16S ribosomal RNA". It matches the Rfam family "Bacterial small subunit ribosomal RNA", at positions 30 to 523 of the family's 1533-position model. The record is from RNAcentral.